GAUGAACGCUGGCGGCGUGCCUAAUACAUGCAAGUCGAGCGAACGGACGAGAAGCUUGCUUUUCUGAUGUUAGCGGCGGACGGGUGAGUAACACGUGGAUAACCUACCUAUAAGACUGGGAUAACUUCGGGAAACCGGAGCUAAUACCGGAUAAUAUUUUGAACCGCAUGGUUCAAAAGUGAAAGACGGUCUUGCUGUCACUUCUAGAUGGAUCCGCGCUGCAUUAGCUAGUUGGUAAGGUAACGGCUUACCAAGGCAACGAUGCAUAGCCGACCUGAGAGGGUGAUCGGCCACACUGGAACUGAGACACGGUCCAUACGCCUACGGGAGGCAGCAGUAGGGAAUCGUCGGCAGUGGGCGAAAGCCUGACGGAGCAACGCCGCGUGAGUGAUGAAGGUCUUCGGAUCGUAAAACUCUGUUAUUAGGGAAGAACAUAUGUGUAAGUAACUGUGCACAUCUUGACGGUACCUAAUCAGAAAGCCACGGCUAACUACGUG
This 497-nucleotide ribosomal RNA is filed under the name uncultured bacterium. Its description in RNAcentral is "partial 16S ribosomal RNA". It matches the Rfam family "Bacterial small subunit ribosomal RNA", at positions 28 to 507 of the family's 1533-position model. The record is from RNAcentral.